AAACAUUUCUGAGGGGAAAAUGUUUUUGGUAUAACCUGCUCAAUGCUUUUUGUAAAUAGCUGCAGUAUUUUGACUGUACAAAGGUAGCAUAAUCAUUAGUCUUUUGAUUGGAGGCUUGUAUGAAUGGUUGAACAGAAAAUUAACUUUUUUAGUUGCACGAAGUUUUAAUUUGUAGUUUAUGUAAAAAUGCAUAAUUAUUUAAAAGGGACGAUAAGACCCUAUAGAAUUUAAAAAUAAUUUUGAAGAUAAAUUUUUUUGUUGGGGUGACAAUAAAUAAACUUUUAUAAUAUUUUCAUUGAUGAGUGGUUUAAUGAUCCUGUAUUUUAGAUAAAAAGAUAAAAUUACCUUAGGGAUAACAGCAUAAUUUUUUUUAAAAGAUCUUAUUAGUAAAAAAGAUUAUGACCUCGAUGUUGAAUUAAAAUAAGAUUUUGGUGUAGAAGCUAAAUUC
This 448-nucleotide ribosomal RNA is filed under the name Cacopsylla pyrisuga. RNAcentral's name for it is "partial 16S ribosomal RNA". It matches the Rfam family "Bacterial large subunit ribosomal RNA", at positions 1823 to 2571 of the family's 2925-position model. The record is from RNAcentral. Lineage: Eukaryota; Metazoa; Arthropoda; Insecta; Hemiptera; Psyllidae.